Molecule: long non-coding RNA, 241 nt
Filed under: Vigna radiata
Lineage: Eukaryota; Viridiplantae; Streptophyta; Magnoliopsida; Fabales; Fabaceae
Description: long non-coding RNA (VRAD_LNC009736)
Source: RNAcentral
CGAUGAUAUUUUUGUAACAAAGUAGACAUUUCAAUGUCAGUUAUCACAAAAGCUGACAUAGAAAGUGGAUGUAGUGGUAAUUUCGUAAUAAAAUAGAAGAUUUUCUAUGUCGAUUAUACCUAUAAAGAAAGUAGGUGUCUAUAUUAUUUUAAAUUUAGAAAACACACACUAUGUUGUUCUUCACUAUAACCAACAUAAAAUCUUUCGCACUACACUUCACUAUUCUACUCACAUAUUCUCC